Photinus pyralis (common eastern firefly) is the source of this 441-nucleotide long non-coding RNA. RefSeq lists it as uncharacterized. NCBI's taxonomy places the organism in Eukaryota, Metazoa, Arthropoda, Insecta, Coleoptera, Lampyridae. The record is from RefSeq and is a predicted model, not a curated record. The transcript has 4 exons.
AGUCGAUAUACGAUCGCCACCUUUAUGAGCGGGAUAUAAUGUCGCAGAAAGCAAACUGGUUCGUUAUUUUUAACAUUAAUAACGGCCCGCUUUAGCGCAACAAAAUGAGGUACUUUUAUACUUAUUCCAACGCCGCGCCGCACCUUUCGGAGGAAAUAAGAUCCCCAACUCUACCACCACUUGUGGCAAUGCCGCCGCCGCCGCCACCACCACAAUUUAAAGGGAGAAGAUAUACAAGCCGUGAUGCAAAUGUAUCAGGCCGAAUUCCAGCAGCGGUUUGCUCCGUAACUUCCUACUCCUCCAGCUGAUUCGUUAAUGGUAGCUCGGAACCGUACGAUACGACUUGUUUCCGAAUUGGAUGCCUCGCGCGAAGAAGAAAGCUGUAGGCACAGAGCUAUUGCAAUGUGAGUAGGCAGCGAAAACUUCACGGCAUUUUUCAAG